Molecule: ribosomal RNA, 406 nt
Filed under: uncultured bacterium
Lineage: Bacteria
Description: partial 16S ribosomal RNA
Rfam family: Bacterial small subunit ribosomal RNA
Source: RNAcentral
AUUGAACGCUGGCGGCAGGCCUAACACAUGCAAGUCGAACGAGAGGCGGACGGGUGAGUAAUGUAUGGGGAACUGCCUGAUAGAGGGGGAUAACUACUGGAAACGGUGGCUAAUACCGCAUACCAUCGGAUGUACCCAUAUGGGAUUAGCUAGUAGGUGGGGUAAAGGCUCACCUAGGCGACGAUCCCUAGCUGGUCUGAGAGGAUGACCAGCCACACUGGAACUGAGACACGGCCCAGACUCCUACGGGAGGCAGCAGUGGGGAAUAUUGCACAAUGGGCGCAAGCCUGAUGCAGCCAUGCCGCGUGUAUGAAGAAGGCCUUCGGGUUGUAAAGUACUUUCAGCGGGGAGGCGUUACCCGCAGAAGAAGCACCGGCUAACUCCGUGCCAGCAGCCGCGGUAAUUC